Molecule: small RNA, 129 nt
Filed under: Arabidopsis thaliana (thale cress)
Lineage: Eukaryota; Viridiplantae; Streptophyta; Magnoliopsida; Brassicales; Brassicaceae
Description: ATSL194020
Source: RNAcentral
UUAUGCGUUUUAUCACAAGUCCAAAAAAUAACAAAGAGCUGAGGACGUGGGAUGGUGUCGUGUAUGAGACAUACACUAAAGUGUGUGUUGCGCGCGAAUUUAUGUAAUAAGAGGGAUGAAUACCAUUUC